GCCAUUUUAGUACAGACAGUUCGGGCAGAAUGUGCUCUGCGGGUUUUGCAAAAUAUUCCUUUUGAAGUUCAAUCCUUGGAGUUUAAUUUAUGUCAAUUAUAUUUGGGAAGUGUCUAUAAGGAUGCAAGGUUAUUUUCUAAGGUCUGAUCCUAUAUUUAGUGGGAUUUUGCAUCAAAGACAAUUGAAGCCAAACUAGGAAAGCAUAGUUACCAAGUCAAAAGAGGAUUUGUUCCUUAUUUAAAGAUGACCAUAAAAUAGGGUUCUCU
This 266-nucleotide long non-coding RNA is filed under the name Prunus persica (peach). RNAcentral's name for it is "long non-coding RNA (PPER_LNC002020)". The record is from RNAcentral. Lineage: Eukaryota; Viridiplantae; Streptophyta; Magnoliopsida; Rosales; Rosaceae.